ACCAGCACCCCGAGUGGUCGGGACGAUUAUUGGGCCUAAAGCAUCCGUAGCCGGUCAUGCAAGUCUUCCGUUAAAUCCACCCGCUCAACGGUUGGGCUGCGGAGGAUACUACGUGGCUAGGAGGCGGGAGAGGCAAGCGGUACUCAGUGGGUAGGGGUAAAAUCCUUUGAUCCAUUGAAGACCACCAGUGGCGAAGGCGGCUUGCCAGAACGCGCUCGACGGUGAGGGAUGAAAGCUGGGGGAGCAAACCGGA
This 253-nucleotide ribosomal RNA is filed under the name uncultured prokaryote. RNAcentral describes it as "partial 16S ribosomal RNA". It matches the Rfam family "Archaeal small subunit ribosomal RNA", at positions 475 to 728 of the family's 1478-position model. The record is from RNAcentral.